Molecule: long non-coding RNA, 851 nt
Organism: Capra hircus (goat)
Lineage: Eukaryota; Metazoa; Chordata; Mammalia; Artiodactyla; Bovidae
Exons: 3
Source: RefSeq, a predicted model, not a curated record
CCAGAGUGUUUCCAACACUUUAAAGCUUGCGCAGAUAGAAAUCAAGUGGAGACUUAAUGCACGUGUAUCUAAGAUUGAUCUGUUGCAGGAGCAUGUCCUCCUCUGUAAAGCCGUGGGUCAGCACAGCCUGGGACCUGCCCACCUGAGCAGGGAGAGGGGCCACCACUUGGACCGUGUGACCUUGAGCAGCCUGCACGCCUUAAUGAAGCGAGCUGCCGUGUGGAGGAGGCCCACGUGGCACAGAAGAGGGAGCAGACUCCAGCCAACAGUCCACAUGGGAGGGUCUGAGACCCUCAACCCAACAAGGGUCCAGGUGCUGCCAACAGCCUCCAAGUGCGCAUGGCAGCCAGUCCGUCCCCAGCGGAGCCUUCAGACCACAGACCCUGGGUCAGUGCCAGGACCUUGGCCUCUGGGACCACACAAAACAUGUAGCCGCCUGCACUCUGCCCAUGCGCCUGACCAUACAAACUGUGAGACGAGGCGACCACGUGUUAAGUUUGGGGUGACUUGUCACGCGGCAAGAGAUAACUGAGACACUGGCUCAGCUACUGCCAUGUCAAGAACAAGUAAUGGAAUCUCAGGGAAAAGUGGAUCAACAUUAAGGAUUUUUUUUUAAUGUGGCUAACUUUAUUCUCCAUAGUAAUAUUUGCUAUCAACAGAGAAUGGAGGAAAUGUUUGUAAAGUUAUGAGGGAAAGACAAUGUGAGCCAAGAACAUUAAACCCAGUUAGAUGCUGCUCAAGUAAAAACACUGUAAAGCAAUUUAAAAAAAAAAAAAAAAACUUACCAAAGUAUACAAUUGGUGAUUUUAUUGUAACUACACUUCAAUAAAGAUUUUUUUUUAAGAAUUGAA